Molecule: long non-coding RNA, 331 nt
Filed under: Carica papaya (papaya)
Lineage: Eukaryota; Viridiplantae; Streptophyta; Magnoliopsida; Brassicales; Caricaceae
Description: long non-coding RNA (CPAP_LNC002379)
Source: RNAcentral
CAGGUUUUUUUUUAUUUCCAAACUGCUAAUUUGACUUUUUUUCGAGAUAAAAGAAAAAGAAUAUUAUUAUGCACAAAGGUACCAAGGGGAAACCACCCUAAAUCACAAAAUUAUAAGUCGAUCAGGUGGUCCAUGACAGCUACCAAUAUCUGUCUAAUCUAAUGUCAUGACCAAACAAAAUAUAAUCAAAAGUAUGAAACCAUCUAUCCCUAAUAUUUACAAUGCUUGUUUCAAUACCCUUAAAAACCCUAGCGUUUCUCUCCCUCUAAACUACCCACAUAAUAAAAAUCAGAAUAAGAUAUAAUUCUUUUUUCUUUUUACAUAAAUCAAC